AUUGAACGCUGGCGGCAGGCUUAACACAUGCAAGUCGAGCGGGGGAAGGUAGCUUGCUACCGGACCUAGCGGCGGACGGGUGAGAAUGCUUAGGAAUCUGCCUAUUAGUGGGGGGCAACAUCUCGAAAGGGAUGCUAAUACCGCAUACGUCCUACGGGAGAAAGCAGGGGAUCUUCGGACCUUGCGCUAAUAGAUGAGCCUAAGUCGGAUUAGCUAGUUGGCGGGGUAAAGGCCUACCAAGGCGACGAUCUGUAGCGGGUCUGAGAGGAUGAUCCGCCACACUGGGACUGAGACACGGCCCAGACUCCUACGGGAGGCAGCAGUGGGGAAUAUUGGACAAUGGGGGGAACCCUGAUCCAGCCAUGCCGCGUGUGUGAAGAAGGCCUUAUGGUUGUAAAGCACUUUAAGCGAGGAGGAGGCUACUUUAGUUAAUACCUAGAGAUAGUGGACGUUACUCGCAGAAUAAGCACCGGCUAACUCUGUGCCAGCCGCCGCCGUAA
This 500-nucleotide ribosomal RNA is filed under the name uncultured bacterium. RNAcentral's name for it is "partial 16S ribosomal RNA". It matches the Rfam family "Bacterial small subunit ribosomal RNA", at positions 30 to 523 of the family's 1533-position model. The record is from RNAcentral.